RNAcentral lists this ribosomal RNA (253 nucleotides) under uncultured bacterium. Its description in RNAcentral is "partial 16S ribosomal RNA". It matches the Rfam family "Bacterial small subunit ribosomal RNA", at positions 524 to 776 of the family's 1533-position model. The record is from RNAcentral.
UACGAAGGGGGCUAGCGUUGCUCGGAAUCACUGGGCGUAAAGGGUGCGUAGGCGGGUCUUUAAGUCAGGGGUGAAAUCCUGGAGCUCAACUCCAGAACUGCCUUUGAUACUGAGGAUCUUGAGUUCGGGAGAGGUGAGUGGAACUGCGAGUGUAGAGGUGAAAUUCGUAGAUAUUCGCAAGAACACCAGUGGCGGAGGCGGCCAACUGGUCCGGUACUGACGCUGAGGUGCGAAAGCGUGGGGAGCAAACAGG